GACGAACGCUGGCGGCGUGCCUAAUACAUGCCAGUUGAGCGCUGAAGGUUGGUACUUGUACCAACUGGAUGAGCAGCGAACGGGUGAGUAACGCGUGGGGAAUCUGCCUUUGAGCGGGGGACAACAUUUGGAAACGAAUGCUAAUACCGCAUAAAAACUUUAAACACAAGUUUUAAGUUUGAAAGAUGCAAUUGCAUCACUCAAAGAUGAUCCCGCGUUGUAUUAGCUAGUUGGUGAGGUAAAGGCUCACCAAGGCGAUGAUACAUAGCCGACCUGAGAGGGUGAUCGGCCACAUUGGGACUGAGACACCGCCCAAACUCCUACGGGAGGCAGCAGUAGGGAAUCUUCGGCAAUGGACGAAAGUCUGACCGAGCAACGCCGCGUGAGUGAAGAAGGUUUUCGGAUCGUAAAACUCUGUUGGCAGAGAAGAACGUUGGUGAGAGUGGAAAGCUCAUCAAGUGACGGUAACUACCCAGAAAGGGACGGCUAACUACGUG
This 497-nucleotide ribosomal RNA is filed under the name uncultured bacterium. RNAcentral describes it as "partial 16S ribosomal RNA". It matches the Rfam family "Bacterial small subunit ribosomal RNA", at positions 28 to 507 of the family's 1533-position model. The record is from RNAcentral.